Molecule: ribosomal RNA, 507 nt
Filed under: uncultured bacterium
Lineage: Bacteria
Description: bacterial SSU rRNA
Rfam family: Bacterial small subunit ribosomal RNA
Source: RNAcentral
GAUGAACGCUGGCGGCGUGCCUCAAACAUGCAAGUCGAGCGGGGCUAUGUAAUAUCGCAAGGUAGAACAUAGCCUAGCGGCGAACGGGUGAGUAACACGUGGGUAACCUGCCUGGAAGACAGGGAUAACGAUUCGAAAGGGUCGCUAAUACCUGAUAAUAUCCUUUCAUCGCAUGGUGAUAGGAAGAAAGGGGAAACCCGCUUUCAGAUGGGCCCGCGUCCCAUCAGCUAGUUGGUAAGGUAAAGGCUUACCAAGGCGACGACGGGUAGCCGGUCUGAGAGGAUGUACGGCCACACUGGGACUGAGAUACGGCCCAGACUCCUACGGGAGCAGCAGUUGGGAAUCUUAGGCAAUGGACGAAAGUCUGACCUAGCGACGCCGCGUGAGGGAAGAAGGCCUUCGGGUUGUAAACCUCUGUCAGUGGGGAAGAAGUAAGUGACGGUACCCCAAGAGGAAGCCCCUGCUAACUACGUGCCAAGCAAGCCCGACGGUAAAAGUACGUCCUAU